GGAGCUCAGGAUAAUGGUCUUCACCAUUGACGAUGAGCUUGUUAGGCCUAUGCCCUAACAAUUCCUCUUCUCCUCUGUUCUCAUUCGUCUCCAAUUUGCAUUUUCGUCACUGCCUUCGCCUCUUCCCCGUCCCUCGCGUUUCCAACCAUUGCUGUGUAUCAGGGACAAAAGGUUUGGUCUUAACAGCGCAAUUUGGUUAUAAGAGCGAUAGUCAGAGUGAGUUCCAACCAAAGGAUUUGAUGGCUGAAGAAAAGGAAAUUUCAGGAAUAAAAAGAAGUCCUUACCCACCUAUUGAGCCAUACAGUACUGGUUUCUUGAAAGUGUCGGAUCUUCACACUAUUUACUGGGAGCAAUCUGGGAAUCCCGCCGGUCAUCCGGUGGUCUUUCUACAUGGGGGACCAGGGGGAGGAACUGCUCCAGGCAAU
RNAcentral lists this unclassified non-coding RNA (425 nucleotides) under Hevea brasiliensis (rubber tree). The record is from RNAcentral. Lineage: Eukaryota; Viridiplantae; Streptophyta; Magnoliopsida; Malpighiales; Euphorbiaceae.